RNAcentral lists this ribosomal RNA (497 nucleotides) under uncultured bacterium. RNAcentral describes it as "partial 16S ribosomal RNA". It matches the Rfam family "Bacterial small subunit ribosomal RNA", at positions 28 to 507 of the family's 1533-position model. The record is from RNAcentral.
GAUGAACGCUGGCGGCGUGCCUAAUACAUGCAAGUCGAGCGAACAGACGAGGAGCUUGCUCCUCUGACGUUAGCGGCGGACGGGUGAGUAACACGUGGAUAACCUACCUCUAUGACUGGGAUAACUUCGGGAAACCGGAGCUAAUACCGGAUAAUAUAUUGAACCGCAUGGUUCAAUAGUGAAAGACGGUUUUGCUGUCACUUAUAGAUGGAUCCGCGCCGCAUUAGCUAGUUGGUAAGGUAACGGCUUACCAAGGCAACGAUGCGUAGCCGACCUGAGAGGGUGAUCAGCCACACUGGAACUGAGACACGGUCCAGACUCCUACGGGAGGCAGCAGUGGGGAAUAUUGCGCAAUGGGCGCAAGCCUGACCGAGCCACGCCGCGUGGGUGAAGAAGGCCUUCGGGUUGUAAAACCCUUUUGUUGGGGAAGAAAAAAAGGGGGAUGAAACACCGCCGUUCUGACGGUACCCAAAGAAAAAGCCCCGGCUAACUUCGUG